Molecule: ribosomal RNA, 496 nt
Filed under: uncultured bacterium
Lineage: Bacteria
Description: partial 16S ribosomal RNA
Rfam family: Bacterial small subunit ribosomal RNA
Source: RNAcentral
AUGAACGCUGGCGGCGUGCCUAAUACCUGCAAGUCGAGCGAACAGACGAGGAGCUUGCUCCUCUGACGUUAGCGGCGGACGGGUGAGUAACACGUGGAUAACCUACCUAUAAGACUGGGAUAACUUCGGGAAACCGGAGCUAAUACCGGAUAAUAUAUUGAACCGCAUGGUUCAAUAGUGAAAGACGGUUUUGCUGUCACUUAUAGAUGGAUCCGCGCCGCAUUAGCUAGUUGGUAAGGUAACGGCUUACCAAGGCAACGAUGCGUAGCCGACCUGAGAGGGUGAUCGGACACACUGGAACUGAGACACGGUCCAGACUCCUACGGGAGGCAGCAGUAGGGAAUCUUCCGCAAUGGGCGAAAGCCUGACGGAGCAACGCCGCGUGAGUGAUGAAGGUCUUCGGAUCGUAAAACUCUGUUAUUAGGGAAGAACAAAUGUGUAAGUAACUAUGCACGUCUUGACGGUACCUAAUCAGAAAGCCACGGCUAACUACGUG